AUUGAACGCUGGCGGCAGGCCUAACACAUGCAAGUCGAACGAGUGGCGGACGGGUGAGUAAUGUCUGGGACACUGCCCGAUGGAGGGGGAUAACUACUGGAAACGGUAGCUAAUACCGCAUACCAUCGGAUGUGCCCAGAUGGGAUUAGCUAGUAGGUGGGGUAAUGGCUCACCUAGGCGACGAUCCCUAGCUGGUCUGAGAGGAUGACCGAGCACACUGGAACUGAUACACGGUCCAGACUCCGACGUGAGGCAGCAGUGGGGAAUAUGGCACAAUGGGGGCAAGCCUGAUGGAGCCAUGCCGCGUGUAUGAAGAAGGCCUUCGGGGUGUAAAGUACUGGCAGCGAGGAGGCGGUACUCGCAGAAUAAGCACCGGCUAACUCCGUGCCAGCAGCCGCGGUAAUUC
This 406-nucleotide ribosomal RNA is filed under the name uncultured bacterium. Its description in RNAcentral is "partial 16S ribosomal RNA". It matches the Rfam family "Bacterial small subunit ribosomal RNA", at positions 30 to 526 of the family's 1533-position model. The record is from RNAcentral.